This 591-nucleotide ribosomal RNA is filed under the name uncultured bacterium. RNAcentral describes it as "bacterial SSU rRNA". It matches the Rfam family "Bacterial small subunit ribosomal RNA", at positions 334 to 916 of the family's 1533-position model. The record is from RNAcentral.
UACUCCUACGGGAGGCAGCAGUAGGGAAUCUUCCGCAAUGGACGCAAGUCUGACGGAGCAACGCCGCGUGAGUGAAGAAGGUUUUCGGAUCGUAAAACUCUGUUGUUAGAGAAGAACAAGUGCUAGAGUAACUGUUAGCGCCUUGACGGUAUCUAACCAGAAAGCCACGGCUAACUACGUGCCAGCAGCCGCGGUAAUACGUAGGUGGCAAGCGUUGUCCGGAUUUAUUGGGCGUAAAGCGAGCGCAGGCGGUUCCUUAAGUCUGAUGUGAAAGCCCCCGGCUCAACCAGGGAGGGUCAUUGGAAACUGGGGAACUUGAGUGCAGAAGAGGAGAGUGGAAUUCCAUGUGUAGCGGUGAAAUGCGUAGAUAUAUGGAGGAACACCAGUGGCGAAGGCGACUCUCUGGUCUGUAACUGACGCUGAGGCUCGAAAGCGUGGGUAGCAAACAGGAUUAGAUACCCUGGUAGUCCACGCCGUAAACGAUGAGUGCUAAGUGUUGGAGGGUUUCCGCCCUUCAGUGCUGCAGUUAACGCAUUAAGCACUCCGCCUGGGGAGUACGACCGCAAGGUUGAAACUCAAAGGAAUUGACGG